CCUACGGGUGGCAGCAGUGAGGAAUAUUGGUCAAUGGACGCAAGUCUGAACCAGCCAAGUCGCGUGAGGGAAGACGGUCCUAUGGAUUGUAAACCUCUUUUGUCAGGGAGCAAACGCAGACACGCGUGGCUGUCUGAAAGUAUCGUACGAAAAAGGAUCGGCUAACUCCGUGCCAGCAGCCGCGGUAAUACGGAGGAUUCGAGCGUUAUCCGGAUUUAUUGGGUUUAAAGGGUGCGUAGGCGGUCUGGUAAGUCAGAUGUGAAAUUCUGCGGUUCAAAUUCGGACUUGCCUCUGAUACUGGCCGGCUUGAGUGUAGUAGAGGUAGGCGGAAUGGGUGGUGUAGCGGUGAAAUGCUGAGAGAUCACGCAGAACCCCGAUUGCGAAGGCAGCUUACCAAGCUACUACUGACGCUGAGGCACGAAAGCGUGGGUAUCAAACAGGAUUAGAUACCCCAGUAGUC
This 460-nucleotide ribosomal RNA is filed under the name uncultured bacterium. Its description in RNAcentral is "partial 16S ribosomal RNA". It matches the Rfam family "Bacterial small subunit ribosomal RNA", at positions 338 to 795 of the family's 1533-position model. The record is from RNAcentral.